This 1344-nucleotide long non-coding RNA is filed under the name Mus caroli (Ryukyu mouse). RNAcentral describes it as "RIKEN cDNA A530006G24 gene (MGP_CAROLIEiJ_G0005493.1)". Lineage: Eukaryota; Metazoa; Chordata; Mammalia; Rodentia; Muridae. The record is from RNAcentral.
AGUAGGUGGUCAUGGACCUGUGCCCCGAAUCCUGUAAGGCAAGUAGAUGUGGAGUUGACAGGUCUCAGGACAGGAUCUUUCAGCACCAGACACAGGAGCUUCCAGCCUGCAGAGCACACGUCAUAUCUUCCUCAUGGAGCCCUUCUAGGGCAGACAGCACCUGUGAACCAGAAGCGGUGGGAUUGGCAGCCUGUCUUUCUAGAGCUCACUGAUAUACCACUGUGGCUGGCAGCCAGGCCUGGUUCGGCUAAAUCACAAGUCUGGCUGGAGUUCCCAACAUCUGUGUAUGCUCACUCCCACUUGGGAAGCAGCCUCCUUGGGCUCCUGAGAGUGAAGGCUGAAAGGUCAGCAACAUCUAAGAAACUUGAAAAUGCAGUCUCACCUGAGUUGUGCUGGCCUGGGUGGCAGACUUCUAGUGAAGAAUGUGAGAAAAGGUAAGUGGAUUGGAGAUUUUGAAUCAUGAGUGUUUCAGCUAGAGGCUUUUCUUUUCCUCUGCUCUCUCAGAAAUGCUCUUGACAAUUAAAAAUGUUGUUUUAAAAUGCUGUUGAAAGAUGGAGUGACUGUUGUUUACAGAGAUCCUUACAAAAUACAUCUGUGUCUUUCCUUCUGAAAGAAAAGGCAGGUUGAACAUGUAAUUUAGCACUGACAGUGUUUACAAACAAAAAUUUUAAAAUAAAAUGUGCCCUUUGCUUUGGUGUGUGUGUGUGUGUGUGUGUGUGUGUGUGUGUGUGCAUAUGUGUGCAUAUGUGUGCAUAUGUGUAUAAGCUUGCACAUGCAUGUCUGGGAGGCUGAGAGUUCUCCAUUCCCACUGCCAACUGCCAAUAAGCCAAUGUAGAACAGAAGCCGGGAUGAAGAGGCAAAUCCCCCGCACAGAUGCUUGAACAGGUCUCCUGUGCCCUACUCACAGACAGAUAGCAUCAUCUGGAAACUCAUGGAUCAAAAAAAUAGACAGGUGGUCUGGCCCUGGUGGUAAUGCUUGGGGUGUAUGAAGAACUUUGGAGGCAAACCUAUCCUGCUUUCUUUAUUGUAUCUCUUACAUUUCUAAGUAAAUGAAGACCCAUCUUAAAAACCUCAUUUGAUUUAAGGAAAAGGAUUAAAGCUACAGUGGAUGGAAAGAAUCCCAGCACUGCCACCUCCACCUGUCUGGUCUGAAGAAGCCAUUCCUGCUGGCUUUGCUGUUGUUCUUCACGUCAUUGUUUCAUGUGAAGCGGGUGCCUCCGCAUGAGCGGAGUGACUAACCACUGAGUUAUUUUCCUUGUAGUGACUUUAGUGUUUUAUGAGUCUCUCCACCUUAUGUCUCAUGAAUUAACCUCACCCCACCAUCUGAAAUAGCACAGUUUGAUC